This 528-nucleotide ribosomal RNA is filed under the name Selenops sp. n. 14 SCC-2010. Its description in RNAcentral is "partial 16S ribosomal RNA". The stretch from base 98 to 394 matches the Rfam family "Bacterial large subunit ribosomal RNA", at positions 2074 to 2646 of the family's 2925-position model. The record is from RNAcentral. Lineage: Eukaryota; Metazoa; Arthropoda; Arachnida; Araneae; Selenopidae.
UUUAAAUGAAGACCAGAACAAAAGAUUAAACGUUUAAAUUAAUAUCUAUAUUUAAAUAUUCAAAAUUAUCUUAAAUGUAAAAAGACAUUUAUACAAAAGAAAGACGACAAGACCCUAUUGAACUUAACUUUAGUUAAACUGGGGCAGUUAAUUAAUAAUAAUUUUAAUUAAAUUCAAAACAAAAAUAAUCCAAUAUAAUUGAAAUGAUCAAGUUACCAUAGGGAUAACAGCGUAAUAAUUUUUCAAAGAUCUUAUAAAAACAAUAGCUUGCGACCUCGAUGUUGAAUUAAUUACCUAAUUAAAGCAAAAGCUAAUCAAGGAAGUCUGUUCGACUUUUAAACAAUUACAUGAUUUGAGUUCAGACCGGUAUAAGCCAGGUCGGUUUCUAUCUUCUUCUUUAUUCUUACAGUACGAAAGGACCUAAGAAAAUAAUAUAAUUAAUAUAUUGGCAGAAAAAUGCAUUAGAAUUAGAAUCUAACAAAGCUAAUAAUACCAUUCAUCCUAUCAUAUCUAAUCAUUAUUAUUAGA